Molecule: ribosomal RNA, 3520 nt
Filed under: Drosophila melanogaster (fruit fly)
Lineage: Eukaryota; Metazoa; Arthropoda; Insecta; Diptera; Drosophilidae
Description: eukaryotic LSU rRNA
Rfam family: Eukaryotic large subunit ribosomal RNA (bases 573-3520)
Source: RNAcentral
ACUCUAAGCGGUGGAUCACUCGGCUCAUGGGUCGAUGAAGAACGCAGCAAACUGUGCGUCAUCGUGUGAACUGCAGGACACAUGAACAUCGACAUUUUGAACGCAUAUCGCAGUCCAUGCUGUUAUGUACUUUAAUUAAUUUUAUAGUGCUGCUUGGACUACAUAUGGUUGAGGGUUGUAAGACUAUGCUAAUUAAGUUGCUUAUAAAUUUUUAUAAGCAUAUGGUAUAUUAUUGGAUAAAUAUAAUAAUUUUUAUUCAUAAUAUUAAAAAAUAAAUGAAAAACAUUAUCUCACAUUUGAAUGUGAAAAACGAAGAGAAAUAUUUUCUUUUUCAAUCAAAUAAUACUGAGAAAUGUCUAGCAUAAAAAAUUGAAAUAUUUUUCAUCUAGAAUUGUCUCUUAUUAAUGAUUCGGAAAUAGAAAAAUCUUGGUUAUGUUAUUAUUCUUCGUUGGUUCGUUAAAAAUGGAUAAAUAAAAACUUUGCAUACAAGAAUUAAUAAAAAUGUUAUAACGAAUUUAAUUAAAUGUUUUAUCAUUAUAUAUAAAGAAUUUAUGGCAAGAUAAAGUUAUAUACAACCUCAACUCAUAUGGGACUACCCCCUGAAUUUAAGCAUAUUAAUUAGGGGAGGAAAAGAAACUAACAAGGAUUUUCUUAGUAGCGGCGAGCGAAAAGAAAACAGUUCAGCACUAAGUCACUUUGUCUAUAUGGCAAAUGUGAGAUGCAGUGUAUGGAGCGUCAAUAUUCUAGUAUGAGAAAUUAACGAUUUAAGUCCUUCUUAAAUGAGGCCAUUUACCCAUAGAGGGUGCCAGGCCCGUAUAACGUUAAUGAUUACUAGAUGAUGUUUCCAAAGAGUCGUGUUGCUUGAUAGUGCAGCACUAAGUGGGUGGUAAACUCCAUCUAAAACUAAAUAUAACCAUGAGACCGAUAGUAAACAAGUACCGUGAGGGAAAGUUGAAAAGAACUCUGAAUAGAGAGUUAAACAGUACGUGAAACUGCUUAGAGGUUAAGCCCGAUGAACCUGAAUAUCCGUUAUGGAAAAUUCAUCAUUAAAAUUGUAAUAUUUAAAUAAUAUUAUGAGAAUAGUGUGCAUUUUUUCCAUAUAAGGACAUUGUAAUCUAUUAGCAUAUACCAAAUUUAUCAUAAAAUAUAACUUAUAGUUUAUUCCAAUUAAAUUCGCUUGCAUUUUAACACAGAAUAAAUGUUAUUAAUUUGAUAAAGUGCUGAUAGAUUUAUAUGAUUACAGUGCGUUAAUUUUUCGGAAUUAUAUAAUGGCAUAAUUAUCAUUGAUUUUUGUGUUUAUUAUAUGCACUUGUAUGAUUAACAAUGCGAAAGAUUCAGGAUACCUUCGGGACCCGUCUUGAAACACGGACCAAGGAGUCUAACAUAUGUGCAAGUUAUUGGGAUAUAAACCUAAUAGCGUAAUUAACUUGACUAAUAAUGGGAUUAGUUUUUUAGCUAUUUAUAGCUAAUUAACACAAUCCCGGGGCGUUCUAUAUAGUUAUGUAUAAUGUAUAUUUAUAUUAUUUAUGCCUCUAACUGGAACGUACCUUGAGCAUAUAUGCUGUGACCCGAAAGAUGGUGAACUAUACUUGAUCAGGUUGAAGUCAGGGGAAACCCUGAUGGAAGACCGAAACAGUUCUGACGUGCAAAUCGAUUGUCAGAAUUGAGUAUAGGGGCGAAAGACCAAUCGAACCAUCUAGUAGCUGGUUCCUUCCGAAGUUUCCCUCAGGAUAGCUGGUGCAUUUUAAUAUUAUAUAAAAUAAUCUUAUCUGGUAAAGCGAAUGAUUAGAGGCCUUAGGGUCGAAACGAUCUUAACCUAUUCUCAAACUUUAAAUGGGUAAGAACCUUAACUUUCUUGAUAUGAAGUUCAAGGUUAUGAUAUAAUGUGCCCAGUGGGCCACUUUUGGUAAGCAGAACUGGCGCUGUGGGAUGAACCAAACGUAAUGUUACGGUGCCCAAAUUAACAACUCAUGCAGAUACCAUGAAAGGCGUUGGUUGCUUAAAACAGCAGGACGGUGAUCAUGGAAGUCGAAAUCCGCUAAGGAGUGUGUAACAACUCACCUGCCGAAGCAACUAGCCCUUAAAAUGGAUGGCGCUUAAGUUGUAUACCUAUACAUUACCGCUAAAGUAGAUGAUUUAUAUUACUUGUGAUAUAAAUUUUGAAACUUUAGUGAGUAGGAAGGUACAAUGGUAUGCGUAGAAGUGUUUGGCGUAAGCCUGCAUGGAGCUGCCAUUGGUACAGAUCUUGGUGGUAGUAGCAAAUAAUCGAAUGAGACCUUGGAGGACUGAAGUGGAGAAGGGUUUCGUGUGAACAGUGGUUGAUCACGAGUUAGUCGGUCCUAAGUUCAAGGCGAAAGCCGAAAAUUUUCAAGUAAAACAAAAAUGCCUAACUAUAUAAACAAAGCGAAUUAUAAUACACUUGAAUAAUUUUGAACGAAAGGGAAUACGGUUCCAAUUCCGUAACCUGUUGAGUAUCCGUUUGUUAUUAAAUAUGGGCCUCGUGCUCAUCCUGGCAACAGGAACGACCAUAAAGAAGCCGUCGAGAGAUAUCGGAAGAGUUUUCUUUUCUGUUUUAUAGCCGUACUACCAUGGAAGUCUUUCGCAGAGAGAUAUGGUAGAUGGGCUAGAAGAGCAUGACAUAUACUGUUGUGUCGAUAUUUUCUCCUCGGACCUUGAAAAUUUAUGGUGGGGACACGCAAACUUCUCAACAGGCCGUACCAAUAUCCGCAGCUGGUCUCCAAGGUGAAGAGUCUCUAGUCGAUAGAAUAAUGUAGGUAAGGGAAGUCGGCAAAUUAGAUCCGUAACUUCGGGAUAAGGAUUGGCUCUGAAGAUUGAGAUAGUCGGGCUUGAUUGGGAAACAAUAACAUGGUUUAUGUGCUCGUUCUGGGUAAAUAGAGUUUCUAGCAUUUAUGUUAGUUACUUGUUCCCCGGAUAGUUUAGUUACGUAGCCAAUUGUGGAACUUUCUUGCUAAAAUUUUUAAGAAUACUAUUUGGGUUAAACCAAUUAGUUCUUAUUAAUUAUAACGAUUAUCAAUUAACAAUCAAUUCAGAACUGGCACGGACUUGGGGAAUCCGACUGUCUAAUUAAAACAAAGCAUUGUGAUGGCCCUAGCGGGUGUUGACACAAUGUGAUUUCUGCCCAGUGCUCUGAAUGUCAAAGUGAAGAAAUUCAAGUAAGCGCGGGUCAACGGCGGGAGUAACUAUGACUCUCUUAAGGUAGCCAAAUGCCUCGUCAUCUAAUUAGUGACGCGCAUGAAUGGAUUAACGAGAUUCCUACUGUCCCUAUCUACUAUCUAGCGAAACCACAGCCAAGGGAACGGGCUUGGAAUAAUUAGCGGGGAAAGAAGACCCUUUUGAGCUUGACUCUAAUCUGGCAGUGUAAGGAGACAUAAGAGGUGUAGAAUAAGUGGGAGAUAUUAGACCUCGGUUUGGUAUCGUCAAUGAAAUACCACUACUCUUAUUGUUUCCUUACUUACUUGAUUAAAUGGAACGUGUAUCAUUUCCUAGCCAUUAUACGGAU